Molecule: long non-coding RNA, 853 nt
Organism: Syzygium oleosum
Lineage: Eukaryota; Viridiplantae; Streptophyta; Magnoliopsida; Myrtales; Myrtaceae
Exons: 2
Source: RefSeq, a predicted model, not a curated record
UUACGAGUAGUCAAAUUGUUGUUUUGAAAUAUUAUCAAGCAAGGUAAACUGGUGCUGCUUCUAUGACAGGUUUGGUUGGUCUAUGUAAUUAUCAAGGCUUACUUUGGGACUUCUAUUCAAUCAGCUCUAUUGAUGACCUUUUGUGCAAUUGGUCAAUAUUUUGCCCAUAUGUGAAACAAGCUGGAGUGAGGAGCUCAAGAAUUUGCUAAUUUGUUUACAUCCCAUUUGAUCCUAUUGUUGUCAUGGAAUUGUUUUAUCACAUGAUUGAUUUGGGUGUGCUCACUUGGCUGAGGAACUUUAAAUUCCAGACCUGAGACCGAUCAAAAUGAAGAAAAGGGAUUUUGCAGUGGAAGCAUCAGCAACAGUUGAGGACCAUCUUGCGUGCCAAACUUGAAGAGGCUUGUGGACCAACUGGAGUGUCCUGAGGAAGUUUUGAUGCUUGUGAAAAUCCAAAACACUUGAUCUAGCCUCAACAGCACAUACCUGAAUGAUGGCGAAUGUAGCUUUUUAAAUUGAAUAUGCUUUUUGUAUGCUCAUUAGGUUCUAUCUCUUUGUUAAUCAAAUGAGUGGGUCCGGAACUUUUUGUAUGUUACCCUGAUGUAGAGUUGUUUGAUGCGAUUGCAUUCUAAUGAUAUCACACCUGAACUCGAUGAGGCUCUGCAGAGGGAGAAUCAAGGUGCAUUUCAUGAAACUCAGAGAAAGUCCCCAAACACCACGGGAUGGAGAUACGAGCAUGAAUGAGCUAUGUCAUUAUGGAAAGGCAUUCCGAAGUUCUUUGCUAUUGGCGUUUAUCAUGUGCUCCAUGUUGUUAAUACUCUUCAAAUGAUUCUUGAUGUAAAGCAACCUCUUCUCA